This 1372-nucleotide ribosomal RNA is filed under the name Mycolicibacterium gilvum. Its description in RNAcentral is "Mycobacterium gilvum 16S ribosomal RNA". It matches the Rfam family "Bacterial small subunit ribosomal RNA". Lineage: Bacteria; Bacillati; Actinomycetota; Actinomycetes; Mycobacteriales; Mycobacteriaceae. The record is from RNAcentral.
GAAAGGCCCUUCGGGGUACUCGAGUGGCGAACGGGUGAGUAACACGUGGGUGAUCUGCCCUGCACUUUGGGAUAAGCCUGGGAAACUGGGUCUAAUACCGAAUAGGACCGCAUGCUUCAUGGUGUGUGGUGGAAAGCUUUUGCGGUGUGGGAUGGGCCCGCGGCCUAUCAGCUUGUUGGUGAGGUAAUGGCUUACCAAGGCGACGACGGGUAGCCGGCCUGAGAGGGUGACCGGCCACACUGGGACUGAGAUACGGCCCAGACUCCUACGGGAGGCAGCAGUGGGGAAUAUUGCACAAUGGGCGCAAGCCUGAUGCAGCGACGCCGCGUGAGGGAUGACGGCCUUCGGGUUGUAAACCUCUUUCGCCAGGGACGAAGCGCAAGUGACGGUACCUGGAGAAGAAGGACCGGCCAACUACGUGCCAGCAGCCGCGGUAAUACGUAGGGUCCGAGCGUUGUCCGGAAUUACUGGGCGUAAAGAGCUCGUAGGUGGUUUGUCGCGUUGUUCGUGAAAACUCACAGCUUAACUGUGGGCGUGCGGGCGAUACGGGCAGACUUGAGUACUGCAGGGGAGACUGGAAUUCCUGGUGUAGCGGUGGAAUGCGCAGAUAUCAGGAGGAACACCGGUGGCGAAGGCGGGUCUCUGGGCAGUAACUGACGCUGAGGAGCGAAAGCGUGGGGAGCGAACAGGAUUAGAUACCCUGGUAGUCCACGCCGUAAACGGUGGGUACUAGGUGUGGGUUUCCUUCCUUGGGAUCCGUGCCGUAGCUAACGCAUUAAGUACCCCGCCUGGGGAGUACGGCCGCAAGGCUAAAACUCAAAGAAAUUGACGGGGGCCCGCACAAGCGGCGGAGCAUGUGGAUUAAUUCGAUGCAACGCGAAGAACCUUACCUGGGUUUGACAUGCACAGGACGCCGGCAGAGAUGUCGGUUCCCUUGUGGCCUGUGUGCAGGUGGUGCAUGGCUGUCGUCAGCUCGUGUCGUGAGAUGUUGGGUUAAGUCCCGCAACGAGCGCAACCCUUGUCUCAUGUUGCCAGCACGUUAUGGUGGGGACUCGUGAGAGACUGCCGGGGUCAACUCGGAGGAAGGUGGGGAUGACGUCAAGUCAUCAUGCCCCUUAUGUCCAGGGCUUCACACAUGCUACAAUGGCCGGUACAAAGGGCUGCGAUGCCGUGAGGUGGAGCGAAUCCUUUCAAAGCCGGUCUCAGUUCGGAUCGGGGUCUGCAACUCGACCCCGUGAAGUCGGAGUCGCUAGUAAUCGCAGAUCAGCAACGCUGCGGUGAAUACGUUCCCGGGCCUUGUACACACCGCCCGUCACGUCAUGAAAGUCGGUAACACCCGAAGCCGGUGGCCUAACCCCUUGUGGGAGGGAGC